UGGGGAAUAUUGGGCAAUGGGCGAAAGCCUGACCCAGCAACGCCGCGUGAGUGAUGAAGGCCUUCGGGUUGUAAAACUCUUUGGACAGGGACGAAGAAAGUGACGGUACCUGUAGAACAAGCCACGGCUAACUACGCGCCAGCAGCCGCGGUAAUACGUAGGGCGCAAGCGUUAUCCGGAAUUAUUGGGCGUAAAGAGCUUGUAGGCGGUUCGUCGCGUCUGGUGUGAAAGCCCAUCGCUUAACGGUGGGUUUGCGCCGGGUACGGGCGGGCUGGAGUGCAGUAGGGGAGACUGGAAUUCCCGGUGUAACGGUGGAAUGUGUAGAUAUCGGGAAGAACACCAAUGGCGAAGGCAGGUCUCUGGGCUGUUACUGACGCUGAGAAGCGAACGCGUGGGGAGCGAACAGG
RNAcentral lists this ribosomal RNA (407 nucleotides) under Verrucomicrobiota bacterium. Its description in RNAcentral is "Verrucomicrobia bacterium partial 16S ribosomal RNA". It matches the Rfam family "Bacterial small subunit ribosomal RNA", at positions 355 to 776 of the family's 1533-position model. The record is from RNAcentral. Lineage: Bacteria; Pseudomonadati; Verrucomicrobiota.